GAUGAACGCUAGCGGCAGGCUUAACACAUGCAAGUCGAGGGGUAGAGGUUGCUUGCAACCUUGAGACCGGCGCACGGGUGCGUAACGCGUAUGCAACCUACCUUUUACAGAGGGAUAGCCCAGAGAAAUUUGGAUUAAUACCUCAUAGUAUAUAACCUUCGCAUGUUGGUUAUAUUAAAGUUCCAACGGUAAAAGAUGGGCAUGCGUCCUAUUAGCUAGAUGGUAAGGUAACGGCUUACCAUGGCAACGAUAGGUAGGGGUCCUGAGAGGGGAGUCCCCCACACGGGUACUGAGACACGGACCAGACUCCUACGGGAGGCAGCAGUGAGGAAUAUUGGACAAUGGGCGCAAGCCUGAUCCAGCCAUGCCGCGUGCAGGAAGAAGCAUCUAUGGUGUGUAAACUGCUUUUGUACAGGAAGAAACACCCCGACGUGUCGGGGCUUGACGGUACUGUAAGAAUAAGGAUCGGCUAACUCCGUGCCAGCCGCCGCGGUAA
This 496-nucleotide ribosomal RNA is filed under the name uncultured bacterium. RNAcentral's name for it is "partial 16S ribosomal RNA". It matches the Rfam family "Bacterial small subunit ribosomal RNA", at positions 28 to 523 of the family's 1533-position model. The record is from RNAcentral.